CCCAAACCAAUAAAGUUUUCUUUAUUGGGGUUGCGGACAUAUCAUAACGAAGAGGUAUCGUAAUUGAAGAGGUUUGGAAAGACCCACCACAGAAGGUAAUAGUCCUGUAUGUUAAACGAGAAGACUUCAGAUAUGAUCCAGAGUACCACGGGACACGUGAAACCCUGUGGGAAGCAGGAGGGACCACCCUCCAAGGCUAAAUACUACCUAGUGACCGAUAGCGUAUAGUACCGUGAGGGAAAGGUGAAAAGAACCCCGGGAGGGGAGUGAAAUAGAACCUGAAACCCUGCACUUACAAGCUGUGGAAGCACAUUUCUUGUGUGACCGCGUACUUUUUGUAGAACGGGCCAACGAGUUACGUUAAGUAGCAAGGUUAAGCACUUAAGGUGCGGAGCCGUAGCGAAAGCGAGUUUUAACUGAGCGUUCAGUUACUUGACGUAGACCCGAAACCGGGCGACCUACCCAUGAGCAGGAUGAAGCGAAAGUAAAAUUUCGUGGAGGUCCGAACCCACGAGCG
Molecule: ribosomal RNA, 517 nt
Filed under: Clostridioides difficile
Lineage: Bacteria; Bacillati; Bacillota; Clostridia; Peptostreptococcales; Peptostreptococcaceae
Description: partial 23S ribosomal RNA
Rfam family: Bacterial large subunit ribosomal RNA
Source: RNAcentral